AACGGGUAGAACCUCGAAGGCAUAGCUUAGGCGAGAACGGGAUUCAGCUUUGUUGGAAAAUGCUUGUAGGGUCGUACGCCGAUGAUAAAAAGCUUGCGAAAGUUGGUUUUUUUGUCGCGGCGUAUAUAAAUUACGACCUUUAUAAAUGAAGAGUUUUUCCGAAGCGCAUUUCUCGAUAGAAUCUCGCCCAAAGUUCACGCUGUGACCGGUUUGGCGACGGUAAAGAGGCUUUAGCGGAGAAAGGUGUCUUCGUGCGAAUUGCGACUCGCAAGAGUCGCCUCGGCAACUUCGGUUGCGGUUCGCCGGAGCGUUACAGACUCUGCGAGCAUCGUUUAGUAGGCCGUUAUCGCCAGACCGAGGAUCAAUCGUACAAGCGUUUAGGCGCACCGGAAUGCGAUGUUAGAAACGUUGUUUGUUGUUGUACGGUAGCUCGGCUAGUUCGAGAACCUGCGGCAAUUAUUCGACUUUCUUCGUCGUUUAAAAGUCUCCGGAUAUUAACGUACUUUAGGUCGGCAGCGAGUAGAUCGGUUCUCUACCCGACCCGUCUUGAAACACGGACCAAGGAGUCUAACGUACGCGCAAGUUUUCGAGUAAAUCUUAAACUUUCGAAAGAAAAGAUAAAGCGCAAUGAAAGUAAUAAAAAAUUUAAGGUGUGGAGAGGCAAAAACUUCUUUCCACGUCCGACGCGAUCGGUUUUAUUCUUGGUUGAAAAGCCUCGAAUWGACUGCGCAGCGUCGGCCCGUCUAUAACGCUCGAAAGUGUUUCGGCACUUUUGCACAGACGAUAAGACGGAGUUAGAGCGCGGGCGUUGGGACCCGAAAGAUGGUGAACUAUGCUUGGACAGGACGAAGCCGGAGGAAACUCUGGUGGAGGUCCGUAGCGAUUCUGACGUGCAAAUCGAUCGUCAGAUCCGA
RNAcentral lists this ribosomal RNA (914 nucleotides) under Mandibulata sp. NZAC 03011268. Its description in RNAcentral is "eukaryotic LSU rRNA". It matches the Rfam family "Eukaryotic large subunit ribosomal RNA", at positions 386 to 914 of the family's 3401-position model. Lineage: Eukaryota; Metazoa; Arthropoda. The record is from RNAcentral.